CAAUAGCGUAUAUUAAAGUUGUUGCAGUUAGAACGCUCGUAGUCGGAUUUCGGGGCGGGCCGACCGGUCUGCCGAUGGGUAUGCACUGGUCGGCGCGUCCUUCCUUCCGGAGACCGUCCCUACGCUUAACUGAGCGGGGGCGGGAGACGGGACUUUUACUUUGAAAAAAUCAGAGUGUUUCAAGCAGGCAGCUCGCUCUUGCAUGGAUUAGCAUGGGAUAAUGAAAUAGGACUUUGGUGCUAUUUUGUUGGUUUCGAACACCGAAGUAAUGAUGAGAAGGGACAGUCAGGGGCACUCGUAUUCCGCCGAGAGAGGUGAAAUUCUCAGACCAGCGGAAGACGAACCACUGCGAAAGCAUUUGCCAGGGAUGUUUUCACUGA
This 380-nucleotide ribosomal RNA is filed under the name uncultured eukaryote. RNAcentral's name for it is "partial 18S ribosomal RNA". It matches the Rfam family "Eukaryotic small subunit ribosomal RNA", at positions 592 to 976 of the family's 1831-position model. The record is from RNAcentral.